This 477-nucleotide ribosomal RNA is filed under the name uncultured bacterium. Its description in RNAcentral is "bacterial SSU rRNA". It matches the Rfam family "Bacterial small subunit ribosomal RNA", at positions 32 to 517 of the family's 1533-position model. The record is from RNAcentral.
AAUCAACGCUGGCGGCGUGCCUCAGACAUGCAAGUUGAACGAUUAAAGCUCUCUUCGGAGAGUGCAUAAAGUGGCGCACGGGUGAGUAACACGUAAGUAAUCUACCCUCGAGUGGGGAAUAACGUCCGGAAACGGACGCUAAUACCGCAUAACGCAGCGGCACCGCAAGGUGACAGUUGUUAAAGGAGAAAUUCGCUUGAGGAGGAGCUUGCGGCAGAUUAGCNGUUGGUAAGGUAACGGCUUACCAAGGCUACGAUCUGUAACCGGUCUAAGAGGACGGUCGGUCACACUGACACUGAAUAACGGGUCAGACUCCUACGGGAGGCAGCAGUCGGGAAUUUUCGGGCAAUGGGGGAAACCCUGACCCAGCAACGCCGCGUGAAGGAUGAAGUAUUUCGGUAUGUAAACUUCGAAAGAAUAGGAAGAAUAAAUGACGGUACUAUUUAUAAGGUCCGGCUAACUACGUGCCAGCCGCCG